Molecule: ribosomal RNA, 327 nt
Filed under: uncultured bacterium
Lineage: Bacteria
Description: bacterial SSU rRNA
Rfam family: Bacterial small subunit ribosomal RNA
Source: RNAcentral
CCGAAAGGCGGACUAAUACCCCAUGGUAUCCGGCUUGUCCGGAUUAAAGAUUUAUCGCUCUGGGAGGGGCCUGCGUCUGAUUAGCUAGUUGGUGAGGUAAAAGCUCACCAAGGCGACGAUCAGUAGCUGGAUCGAGAGGUUGACCAGCCACACUGGGACUGAGAUACGGCCCAGACUCCUACGGGAGGCAGCAGUAAGGAAUAUUCCACAAUGGGGAAACCCUGAUGGAGCAAUGCCGCGUGCAGGAUGAAGCGUUUCGGCGUGUAAACUGCUUUAAACGGGAAGAUUAUGACGGUACCGUUAGAAUAGGGACCGGCUAAUUACGUG